AACGCAAAUUGCGCCUUCUUUCGGAAGGCAUGUCUGUUUGAGGGCACCAUUUAACAAAUAAUGUGCGCGUCGUUUUUACGAGCGAUGUGCACACGUUGAUGAGCUUUUCCGAAAAAACCAGGUUUUUUUGGUGGCGCAUAAUGAACAGCGUGGGCUUUUUCUUCGAUUCUCGUGUAGUAAAUCUUCAACGCUUGGGUUGAGAAAAAGUGCGUGCCGCGCAAUGGGUGUGGCGAAUUUUACCCCUGCCCCAAUGCCACUCUUUCCCUGCGAAAGAACAUCUUUUAUUCAGGGCCUCAAAUCAGACAAGAGUACCCGCUGAACUUAA
RNAcentral lists this unclassified non-coding RNA (325 nucleotides) under uncultured Paraglomerales. RNAcentral describes it as "sequence contains ITS2". Lineage: Eukaryota; Fungi; Glomeromycota; Glomeromycetes; Paraglomerales. The record is from RNAcentral.